AUAUAAGGUGACCGUACCAAAACCGACACAGGUAGGAGGGUAGAGUAUACCAAGGCGCGCGAGAGAAAGGUUGUUAAGGAACUCGGCAAAUUAACCCCGUAUCUUCGGAAGAAGGGGUCCUGCCGGAGGCUAGGGACUUGCUCCCGAUGUUUCCAGCAGGCGCAGUGAAGAGGCGAAGGCGACUGUUUAUCAAAAACAUAGCACUAUGCAAACUCGCAAGAGGAAGUAUAUGGUGUGACACGUGACCAAUGCCAAAAGGUUAAGGCAAGGGGUUAGCAUUAGCGAAGCUCUAAACCGAAGCCCUGGUGAAUGUCGGCCGUAACUAUAACGGUCCUAAGGUAGCGAAAUUCCUUGUCGGGUAAGUUCCGACCUGCACGAAUCGUGUAACGAUCUUCGCACUGUCUCAACAACCAUCUCGGUGAAGUUGUAGUUCCGGUGAAAAUGCCGGAUAACCGAUGCAGGACGGAAAGACCCCGUGAACCUUUACUAUGACCUGACAUUGGAAUUUGAUGUAUCAUAUGUAGUAUAGCUGGGAGACUUUGAAACAUCUUCGUCAGGAGGUGUGGAGUCAUUAGUGAAAUACCAGUUUUGGUUUAUUGAAUUUCUAACUACGAUCCCUUGAAUCAGGGCGUGGAACAGUGUCUGGGAGUUAGUUUGACUGGGGCGGUUUCCUCCUAAAGAGUAACGGAGGAGCACAAAGGUACCCUCAGCACGGUCAGCAAUCGUGCGAAGAGCGUAUAGGUAUAAGGGUGCUUAACUGCGAGACCUACAAGUCGAGCAGGUGCGAAAGCAGGUCUAAGUGAUCCGGUGGUUGCUAGUGGUAGCGCCAUCGCUUAACGGAUAAAAGGUACUCCGGGGAUAACAGGCUGAUGAUUGCCAAGAGUCCACAUCGACGCAAUCGUUUGGCACCUCGAUGUCGGCUCAUCGCAUCCUGGGGCUGGAGAAGGUCCCAAGGGUUGGGCUGUUCGCCCAUUAAAGCGGUACGCGAGCUGGGUUCAGAACGUCGUGAGACAGUUUGGUCCUUAUCCGCCGUGGUCGCAGGAAGUUUGAAGAGAUUAAUCCUUAGUACGAGAGGACCAGGAUUAACGUGCCUCUGGUGUUCCAGUUGUCGUGCCAACGGCAUCGCUGGGUAGCUACGCACGGGAAGGA
RNAcentral lists this ribosomal RNA (1149 nucleotides) under metagenome. RNAcentral describes it as "bacterial LSU rRNA". It matches the Rfam family "Bacterial large subunit ribosomal RNA", at positions 1631 to 2764 of the family's 2925-position model. The record is from RNAcentral.